AUUUAUAUAGUUUAAAAAAAACAUUAUAUUUUCAAUAUAAAAUUAUUAAUAUAUUUUAUUUAAUUAUAAAUA
This 72-nucleotide transfer RNA is filed under the name Bombus filchnerae. RNAcentral's name for it is "tRNA-Glu". The record is from RNAcentral. Lineage: Eukaryota; Metazoa; Arthropoda; Insecta; Hymenoptera; Apidae.